RNAcentral lists this ribosomal RNA (410 nucleotides) under Vipera ammodytes (sand viper). RNAcentral describes it as "partial large subunit ribosomal RNA". It matches the Rfam family "Bacterial large subunit ribosomal RNA", at positions 1979 to 2609 of the family's 2925-position model. Lineage: Eukaryota; Metazoa; Chordata; Lepidosauria; Squamata; Viperidae. The record is from RNAcentral.
AUUGUGGACUCGUAUGAAAGGCAAAAUGAGAGCCUGACUGUCUCUUACAACUAAUCAAUUAAACUGAUCUCCCAGUACAAAAGCUGGGAUACCCCCAUAAGACCAGAAGACCCUGUGAAGCUUUAACUAACCUAUUAAACCUUAUAAUAAUUAGUUUCGGUUGGGGCGACCUUGGAAUAAAAAAGAACUUCCAACAUAUGACCUCCUCAUAAAAAGGCAAACAAGCCACAUUAGACCCAGUAUAUCUGAUUAAUGAACUAAGUUACUCCAGGGAUAACAGCGCUAUCUUCUUCAAGAGCCCAUAUCAAAAAGAAGGUUUACGACCUCGAUGUUGGAUCAGGACAUCCUAGUAAUGCAACCGUUACUGAGGGUUCGUUUGUUCAACGAUUAACAGUCCUACGUGAUCUGAG